GACGAACGCUGGCGGCGUGCUUAACACAUGCAAGUCGAACGGAAAGGCCCUGCUUUUGUGGGGUGCUCGAGUGGCGAACGGGUGAGUAACACGUGAGUAACCUGCCCUUGACUUUGGGAUAACUUCAGGAAACUGGGGCUAAUAUCGGAUAGGAUCUCCUGCUGCAUGGUGGUGGUUGGAGAGUCUCGGCGGUUGGGGAUGGACUCGAGGGUUAUGAGCUUGUUGGUGGGGUAGUGGCUUACCAAGGCUUUGACGGGUAGCCGGCCUUGGAGGGUGGCCGGCGACCUUGCGCCUACGAUAGGGCCCAGACGCCAACGGGACGCAGCAGUGGGGAACCUUGCACAAUGGGCCGAAGCCUGAUGCAGCAACGCCGCGUGCGGAAUGCCGUCCUUCGGGUUGUAAACCGCUGUCGCCUGUGACAAAGCGUGAGUGACGGUAAUUGGUAAAGAAGCACCGGCUAACUACGUG
This 468-nucleotide ribosomal RNA is filed under the name uncultured bacterium. RNAcentral describes it as "partial 16S ribosomal RNA". It matches the Rfam family "Bacterial small subunit ribosomal RNA", at positions 28 to 507 of the family's 1533-position model. The record is from RNAcentral.